GGCUGGGCCCUAUGCGACGAAGGCCGGUGAAGCCCGCCAGGACCGGAAGGUAGCAACGGUAAACCAUGAUUUUCGGGCGCCGUAGGUCUACCUGGCCCUG
Molecule: signal recognition particle RNA, 100 nt
Filed under: Lentisphaerae bacterium GWF2_57_35
Lineage: Bacteria; Pseudomonadati; Lentisphaerota
Also listed under: 1 other name
Description: signal recognition particle sRNA small type
Rfam family: Bacterial small signal recognition particle RNA
About the family: The signal recognition particle (SRP) is a universally conserved ribonucleoprotein involved in the co-translational targeting of proteins to membranes. Archaeal SRP consists of a 7S RNA and homologues of the eukaryotic SRP19 and SRP54 proteins.
Source: RNAcentral